This 254-nucleotide ribosomal RNA is filed under the name uncultured bacterium. RNAcentral describes it as "partial 16S ribosomal RNA". It matches the Rfam family "Bacterial small subunit ribosomal RNA", at positions 524 to 777 of the family's 1533-position model. The record is from RNAcentral.
UACAGAGGGGGCAAGCGUUAUUCGGAAUUAUUGGGCGUAAAGGGCGCGUAGGCGGCCUGGCAAGUGGAUGGUGAAAUCCCUCGGCUUAACCGAGGAACUGCCAUCCAGACUGCUUGGCUUGAGACCGGGAGAGGUGAGUGGAAUUCCCAGUGUAGCGGUGAAAUGCGUAGAUAUUGGGAGGAACACCAGUGGCGAAGGCGGCUCACUGGACCGGUACUGACGCUGAUGCGCGAAAGCGUGGGGAGCAAACGGGG